Molecule: ribosomal RNA, 414 nt
Filed under: Triticum aestivum (bread wheat)
Lineage: Eukaryota; Viridiplantae; Streptophyta; Magnoliopsida; Poales; Poaceae
Description: partial small subunit ribosomal RNA
Source: RNAcentral
AUGGAUAAGUUUCUUCUCAAAAGAAAGGCCACAUCACAAGUUACUCCAGAAGACAUAAAUUGGGAGGAGGAGAUUCAAUAUGACCCAGGCAAGAGGAAACUGAUAGAACAUUAUCAUCCAAAUUUGAAAGAUCUGGUAAGAAGAAAAUACUUGCUUAAUGGACCUUGUCAGCCAAAGGAUGUUGAUUUUCCAUAUUCAAGUUUUGGGGCUAAGAGGAGAAGAUUCAAUCCUGAAUGGUAUAAAGAUCAUGGAAGUUGGGAUCGCAGCCACAAGAAAGAAGCUGGGUAUGAGGCAUUUGUUCUGAAUGGUUGGGAUACUUGGAGCAUUCCAACAAGGCUAAAAGAUCAUGUUGGUGAGCCAGGUAGCGUCCAUGAUCAAGCAAUGAAAAAAUGUACUGCUUUACUAAAAAGAGAU